AGAGCUGCAGGUUGCAGACCCCUGAUCUAAACACGAGUUUUUGUAACUAAUGUCAUUAAAUAAUCACACAAACCUUUGCAAUAAAGGUUGAUUAGUUCUUAGAAUUGUAUUUAACUCUUGAGAAAAUAAAAUAAGAACCAGAAAAUGCAAUUAUUUGAUUCUCAAAAUAAAAUCUCAGUAUUUCUCAAUCCUGGUUUAAGGGCCUCAGCCCUGAAUAGUUUACAUUUUUUCCUUUUCCAGCACACCUGAUUCAAAUACCUGCAUUAUCAAGCUCAUGCGACACAUGCUAAAGAGCUGAGGAUUUGAAUCCAGGGAGCUGAACCGGAGAAACAUGUCAAACAUGCAGUGAAAGGAGGAGAUCAGCCUCAAUAUCAAUCAGAGUGAUACACCUCAGAAGAUACCAUCUUUGUUGGAGCAAAACUGUCAACAAAUUCAGCUGAUUGGUGGCCAGAAGAGCAUACAGUGAGUUCUGGCUGUCAACAUCUGCUCCAGAGACCGCACCAUCUGCACGAGGCCCUGGGGGGAGCAUCCUUCCUCAUCUCGGAGCAGCUGCAGAGCCUCAGACAUGGACCGAAGCCGCCUCGCAGAGUCAGAGAACACAGCCAAGACGCAGUUGGAGCUGCUGUUGGAACAUCCAUUUCACAAAAGCUCGUCUUGAGGAUGGAAUCACAAAACGCAUUUUCAUUGAUUUUAAUCCAGCAGCAGCAAAUGAGUCAACACAGCCAACCUUUAAGACCUUUUUUUAUUUCAUCAGUUCGAAAGAAACGAGUAAGAACCGUGUACAAAGUUUAUACGUUUACUAAAGCUGGUGUCAUCAGUCAUGGGAAUAAAAAGAGGGGCAGGUACAAAAAAGUUUGAAUGAAAAAAUAUAAAAGUCAUUUUCCCAUUGUUCGGAAUUUGAGAGUAAAAAGGGAGAGGCAUAGGAGUAAGCAACAAACAGACUCAAAAAGGAAAAAAAAA
Long non-coding RNA from Oryzias melastigma (Indian medaka), 960 nucleotides. RefSeq lists it as uncharacterized. The transcript is spliced from 2 exons. The record is from RefSeq and is a predicted model, not a curated record. Lineage: Eukaryota; Metazoa; Chordata; Actinopteri; Beloniformes; Adrianichthyidae.